AGUCAUUAGGAAAGUCCGAGCAUCACAGAGCAGGAUAACAGCUAACGGCUGCCGAGGGCGACCUCAGGGCAAGUGCAACAGAAAGAUACCGCCCGAUUUUUCGGGUAAGGAUGGAAAGGCGAGGUAAGAGCUCACCGGGAUGCGUGAGAGCGCAUUGCCAUGUAAACCCUAUCCGAUGCAACGCCGGUUGGUAUAAUGCGUCUUAACGCCUGCUCGGCGGGCGCAUUACAAAGGCGGCUUGAGCCUUGUGGCGACACAAGGACCAGAUAGAUUACCGCACACGACAGAACUCGGCUUAUCGGCUUGCUCAU
RNAcentral lists this RNase P RNA (311 nucleotides) under pig gut metagenome. RNAcentral's name for it is "Bacterial RNase P class A". It matches the Rfam family "Bacterial RNase P class A". Rfam says of the family: Ribonuclease P (RNase P) is a ubiquitous endoribonuclease, found in archaea, bacteria and eukarya as well as chloroplasts and mitochondria. Its best characterised activity is the generation of mature 5'-ends of tRNAs by cleaving the 5'-leader elements of precursor-tRNAs. The record is from RNAcentral.